GACGAACGCUGGCGGCGUGCCUAAUACAUGCAAGUAGAACGCUGAAGGAGGAGCUUGCUUCUCUGGUUGAGUGGCGAACGGGUGAGUAACGCGUAGGUAACCUGCCUGGUAGCGGGGGAUAACGAUUGGAAACGCGAGCUAAUACCGCAUAACAGUAUAUAUCGCAUGAUAUCUACUUGAAAUGUGCACUUGCAUCGCUACCAGAUGGACCUGCGUUGUAUUAGUGAGUGGGCGAGGUAACGGCCCUCCAAGGCGACAAUACAUAGCCGACUGGAGAGGGGGAUCGGCCCCCCUGGCAAGGAGACACGCCCCAGACCCCUAGGGGAGGCAGCAGUCGGGGAUCUUCGGCAAUGGCCGGCAGUCUGACCGCGCACCGCCGCGUGAGUGAAGAAGGUUGUCGGAUCGUAAAGCGCUGUUGUAAGCGAAGAACGAGUGUGAGAGUGGAAAGUUCACACUGUGACCGUAUCUUACCAGAAAGCGACGGCUAACUACGUG
This 495-nucleotide ribosomal RNA is filed under the name uncultured bacterium. RNAcentral's name for it is "partial 16S ribosomal RNA". It matches the Rfam family "Bacterial small subunit ribosomal RNA", at positions 28 to 507 of the family's 1533-position model. The record is from RNAcentral.